Malus domestica (apple) is the source of this 1761-nucleotide non-coding RNA. NCBI's taxonomy places the organism in Eukaryota, Viridiplantae, Streptophyta, Magnoliopsida, Rosales, Rosaceae. The record is from RefSeq and is a predicted model, not a curated record.
UACGUUUCUUAUCUCAUUUUCGUGCUGUUCAUCGAGGGGCAUCAUUCGCUGGACUGCGCACCACAAGUGUGCGGAAAUUGCCCUGUGCAUACACCUGAUGGAGAACCAUGUGGCUUGUUGAAUCAUAUGACUAACACUUGUACUAUUCAGUGUAGAGUAGAGAUGCAAAAGAUAGUUACUGUUCACUGGGCGAUGAAACUGCUCUUAAGCAUGAGUGGGGCAUAUCCUGGUCUGUACCUUUUCACUAUCCCUUCUAGAUUUGUUCGGCCAGUAAAGAACAUUUCAAUUCCUUCCGUUGGAGGUCAGAAUAUUGAACUUAUUGGACCCCUUGAACAGGUUUUCAUGGAAAUAAGAUGUCCUGAUGGUCGAGAUGGUGGAAGGAAAGAUGGUUUCCCAGCAACUCAUGAAGAAAUUCAUCCAACUGGAAUGCUCAGUGUGGUCGCUAAUCUUACACCCUGAAACAAUAGACUCGUCUGAUCAAAAGAAGAGGUCGGAUAACACCCCAACAUUUUUUAAGAAAAGUAACGUCGAUAAAAAUCCUUUGAUUGAUUCAGAUGGUCUUCCUUAUGUUGGUCAGACAAUAAAACCAUAUGAAGAAUACUAUAGCUUUACCAAUGCCACACUCCAUAAGCCCAGAGCCAUCAAACGGAAAGGUACAGAACCCGUUAUAGUUGACUAUGUUGCUAUUGAUGGGAAGAAGCUCCUUCAAAAGGCAAACAUACGCUUUCGACACACUAGAAACCCUAUCAUUGGUGAUAAAUUUCCUUCUAGAAUGACGAUAGCUAUGCUGUUGGAAUCGGUUGCUGCAAAGUUAAACCCCUUAACCUUGAACAUUUCUUGUCACAUGGUGGUAGCUUACAUGGACAUUAUGUUGACGCAACACCAUUUGCUAGUUCAAAGAACGCUAAUGGAGAGACUGGACCAAAAUCCAAAACCCUUGUUGAUGAACUUGGCGAAUUGUUGAAGGUUAAGAGGUUUAACUACCAUGGUGUAGAGGUUCUGUACAGCGGGGAUUAUGGCACAGAACUCACUUUAUUGGCCCUGUUUAUUAUCAACAACUACGACAUAUGGUUUCAGACAAAUUUCAGGUACGCUCCACUGGAACGGUAGACCAGAUCACUCGCCAGCCUAUCACGGGACGAAAGUGAGGUGGUGGUAUACGUUUUGGCGAAAUGGAGAGGGACUCCAUGCUUGCGCACGGGGCAGCAUAUCUGUUGCAUGACAGGCUUCAUAUGUGGAAGCAUCCUAACGUCCUCAUUCGUCCAACCAAAACGGGUUGUGCGUGCGGUUUCAGGAAUUCCCCCUGUAAGAGCUCCCAAGAAGGUCAGCUGCCAUGCUUGUAACACAAGUAAAGGGAUGGAGACAGUUGCAAUGCCUUAUGUCUUCAGAUAUUUAGCUGCUGAGUUGGCAUCAAUGAACAUAAAAAUGACUCUUCAGACAAGUAAUGCAGCGAAAGCUUGAUAUCAUGUUCUUAGGAGCGAACAACCAAUGUAAGAUGGUACGAUGAAAUUGAUACAGCGGGCGGCGGCAGGACUCUACGCACAAGGAGCAUCGGGUGUGGGAAUCGUGUCGCAAAAAUGACCGUCGAUGCUGGGGAUUGGUGAGAGGCUCCUGACUUGUAUUUAUAUGUUGGCCAAGAGGGUUUAAGUUCUCUUCAGUUUUCUUAAAAACACUGAGAUAACUUUUAAAGCUCUCAGCAUUCUUUUUUCUCCUUUGUUGGUAUGCAUCCAGGUGGAAUUACAUUUCUUUUUAUAACUUUGA